GUCCCAUCCCGAACCCAGCCGUUAAGUGCCGUAGCGCCGAUGGUACUGCGUCUUAAGACGUGGGAGAGUAGGUCAUCGCCAAAC
This 84-nucleotide ribosomal RNA is filed under the name Sulfitobacter sp. 15WGC. Lineage: Bacteria; Pseudomonadati; Pseudomonadota; Alphaproteobacteria; Rhodobacterales; Roseobacteraceae. The record is from RNAcentral.